ACUGCUAUCGGGAUAGGACUAAGACAUGCUAGUCGAGCGCGUCAGCCAAAACGACGCGCGGCAAACAGCUCAGUAACACGUGGCUUAUCUGCCCUUGGGACGAGAACCACCCCGGGAAACUGGGGCUAACUCUCGAUAAGUGAAGAACUCUGGAAUGAGUCUUUGCAUAAAAAGCUUCACGUUAUGUUCGUGAAGUCGCCUAAGGAUGAGGCCGCGACCGAUCAGGUUGUUGGUGAGGUAAUGGCCCACCAAGCCUUUUACCGGUGCGGGCCGUGAGAGCGGGAGCCCGGAGAUAGGUACUGAGACAAGGACCCAGGCCCUACGGGGCGCAGAAGUCCCGAAAACUUUGCAAUAAGCGCAAGCUUGACAGGGCUAUCCCGAGUGCCAUCCGCUGAGGAAGGCCUUUACCCAGUCUAGAACGCUGGGGGAAUAAGGAGAGGGCAAGUCUGGUGUCAGCCGCCGCGGUAAUACCAGCUCUUCGAGUGGUGGGGAUGUUUAUUGGGCCUAAAGCAUCCGUAGCUGGCUAAGUUAGUCCCCUUGUUAAAUCCCCCGAAAUAAUCGUUGGAUUGCGGGGGAUACUGGCUUUGGCUUGGGGACGAGAGAGGCAGACGGGAUUUUCCGGGGUAGGGUGAAAUCCUAUAAUCCCGGAAAGACCACCUGUGGCGAAGGGUGUUCUGUUAAAACGCGCCCCACUUUGAGGGAUGAAAGCUGGGGGAGCGAACCGGAUUAGAUCCCCGGGUAGUCCCAGCUGUGAACGAUGCAGGCUAGGGGUGUGGACGGCUACGUGUCGUUCUAGUGCCGAGAGAACUUGUUUAACCUGCCGUCCGGGGGAGGACGAUCGCAGAUUGCAACUAAAGGAUUUGGAGGG
Molecule: ribosomal RNA, 868 nt
Filed under: uncultured archaeon
Lineage: Archaea
Description: bacterial SSU rRNA
Rfam family: Archaeal small subunit ribosomal RNA
Source: RNAcentral